UGAUUUUUAUCUUUUAUAAUUCUUGUAGAAUAACAAAGUUCAUCUCAACUUUAAUUCCCUUUCCCUGUGAUAUUAUAUCUCGAAACUGGAUAGCUGCUCAUAUUCAUAUAUAUACAUAUAUAUCUUAUGUUUAAAGAAAGGAAGGAUGCUGUAGAACAGGAAGACCUAUUUAUCAUACGACGAGGCCCAGCCGAUCGAAACUGCUUUCCGGUAAAGCCACACUCUGAAUGGGCAUGCGCAUUAAACAAUCACGUGAAAUUCGCCAGAUGGCCGCCCCUAAAGGAUGGAAUUCUCCAGGGAUUAAUUCCGCUGGUUGUAGUUCGUCUCAAUUAACCAUCGUUACACAGACAAGCCUUUGCCACCCACGAUUCGAGAAAAUUUGGUACACGUUUUUAAAGCGAAUCCUUGCGAAGGAUCACCUUUUUGCAAAUCGUAUUCAAGUUCGUUACAUCGCAGAGACGAGUCGUGAACGUGGCGAGAAAGUCGAGUGGCUCCUCUGAUUUUCGAAAGGAGAUUCGACAUCGGGGCGAAAACAGUGGAGGUGAGGGUUUUAAAGACGGGGGAUGGAUUGUGAUGGAUUUGCAAGAAUUUGAGAUUUUGAGGAAAAAUAUAUUUGGAAAGAGAUUAAAUGGAGAAGAUUUUGGAAGAGGAAGUUUUCUUUUUUUGAUGAAAUUUUAUGGAUUUGAAAAAUUGGGAACUUUUAUAUACUUCGAAAAGAGUGAGAUUUAAAAUAUCUUUUCUUUCUUGAUUCGAAGAAUUGGAAUUUUAAAAAUAUAUUUUGCGGAUGAAGAAAUUAAUUUAGGUUAAGAGCUUUCGAAAAGAGAAAUAAGGAAGGAGAGUUGUGUUGUGAAAAUUUCAAGAAAAAUUUUCUUUCGACAUUUUACAGAUUUGCAAGAUCGAAAUUUUAGAUAAAUAUAUAUAAAAUUAAGCUUCGUGAAUGUAUAAUUUGUUGUUGUAUAAUUUGAUAUAAAAAUAUUUUGGAACGAAAGAACGAACAUCUUGGAACGUUUUAUAAGACAAAUAUAUAUUAUUGCUUUACAUAGAGAGAAAUCAUUUAUAAUACUGACUGAUUCGAUUCACAAUAUGAUUAUAUAUAUAUAGUACCUAUUAACGUUCAUGUUAGAUUAAACGCAUUUCGAUAACAUUUUGUUUUUUUUUUUUUUUUUUAUUGCUUAAAAUUACACGUGGAAAUAAAUUAUUCCAUAUUUACGAGUAGCACGAAAAAUUUACGUUUAAAAAUUGUACACUAAUAUUUAUUUAUUUAUUACGUAUCAUUAUUAAACUUAUGUAACAAAAUUAUUACAUUCUCGUAGAUUCUAUGCUGUACGCUUAGAAAAAAAUUAUGUUUCAUUUGUUUCCCGUGAAAUAUGAAAUAUUUGUGCUGGAAAAUUUGUAUAUAUUUUUAUUAAUUAAUUGGCGGAGAGGAGGUGCCGUGCACAAGUAGAUGAAGAACCUUAAAUUCUAUGAUACGAGAGAGAAACGAGACGAACAAUUUUACGAUUUCGUUGGAAUUUUGUACAAAUUUGUAAUUAACAGAGAUUGAUAUACGAAAGGAAUAGAAUGAAAAAAAUUUGCAAGAAUCGUUCUAUAAAUGAACAGAGUAUAAUAAAGGGUUGAGAUAUUAAAUUCGAAAAAUUGAAGCAAAGAUUUCGAAUUAUAGAUAUAAUUCGAAGAAGUAAUAUAAGUUAAAAUAAGAAAUAACAGUGUAUAUAUAUUUACAUGUCAAUAAAAUUGUUUUAUCUAUUUCUGUUAAAAUUACUUCAAAAAAUCAAGACGCAAGUUUUGAUUAUCAUUCGAUGAUUCAUAAUAUUAUAUUUUCGUUAUUUCGAUAUUUCGUUCGUAACGCGAGAAUUUACUCGUAAUAUAUCGCUUCUUGCAUCUUUAUCCUUUCAGCAAUUGCAUCACAGUAUAUUGUACAAGAUUAUUUUUCAGCGUAAUAUUUCCCGUUUGAUUUUUUUUUCCUUUUUUUUUUUUUUUUUUUUGCGUUGAGUGCAGCUUACUUACUAAACCUAACCUCACUUUAAAACUUAUUACAGGUUAUAAAUAUUAUUUUUUAAUUCCAACGUAAAGCUAUUAAUAUUCGUAAAAAAUAUUUGUAUUCUUUGUAUUCUUAUUUCUUUUUAUUUCUUCGGUGAUAAAAAUUAAUUCUUUGAAAAUGUUGAAUUAUAAAUUUGUAACUUUUUUUUUCUAAGAAAAAGGGAUAAAGUUAUUAAAAGAUGUACAAAAUAAUCAAGAAUGGUAAGAAAAAAAAAAAACUCACUUUAGAAUGUAUUGAUAUUUUUUGAGAUGAUUAAAGUUUUCACAUCAGCUGAACGAAUCAUUAUUUUACGCUUCGAUUCAUUGUAUUAUCGUUGAUCUUGCUUAUUCGAUUAAUAAGCUUCGCUUUUCAUCGAUAAAACAUAGAUUAUGGGUAAUUAUUAAUCCAUUGACCUAGGAGAAUUUAAUAAAUACCUACUAUUGAGAUGUGAUUAAUUUAACAUUGUCGAAUAUGUUAUUUUUAGAGAUAAAAUAAUUCAAUUCAAUUUAUUAAUAUUAAAAUUUGUAUUGCGAUAAAAAAGUAUUUUUAUAAUAAUUUAAAUUUUCUUUUCUACAGAAAGUAGAGUAUUAAAAUAUUCUGACAACGAUAACAUGAGUUUUCUAGGUAGUAAUUCAUAAUUAAAGAAAAAUGGAGCGACGACCGAAUUUGCCAUAAAGACUGCACGAAAAUUUUAUUUUUUAAACGUUACCAGAAUCCGUUUUUUUUUUUAUUAU
Molecule: long non-coding RNA, 2751 nt
Filed under: Apis florea (little honeybee)
Lineage: Eukaryota; Metazoa; Arthropoda; Insecta; Hymenoptera; Apidae
Description: uncharacterized LOC116415490
Source: RNAcentral